GCAGGCAGGCUGUACUACCGCUCUCGGCAACAACCAAGAACAAACCGACGACGAGGAAGGAAGGAAACGGAGGUCUCAGCAGCCCCGAGAAUCUCUCCGCGGCCGACGACGGCAACCGAUUCCGCCUGCUCUGCCGGGGCAAGGAAGGAGUUUGCCGGGUCCGGGCAAGACCAGGAGGCGCGAUCCUCUCCUCGCUGCGGCUGAAUUGGGGAAGGAGGAAUCGGGGGAGGGAGGAGGCAGAGAGGUUGGUGGGAGGUGGGGGGUGGGAGAGCACAGCGCAGCACAGGUGGGGAGGAGACUAUACAGCUCAGGGACAGGGCGGCAGCGGAAUAUUUAUACUGAGCCUCUCAGAGGAGAGGAGGCGUGCGUGGGAGUGAGCGAGCGAGGGAGAGCAUGUGGAUUCUGGAGUAAGAAACAGGGCAAGCAAGUGGGUAAAACAUCCGGCGGUGCAGCCGCAGCCGACGGCCGGCCGGCCGGCCGGCGCGUCCCUUCCUUCCCGGCAACCGGCGUGUACUGUACUACUCGGGAACAUAUUCUCUGCAUGCUCUUUCCCGUGACACAAAGAAAAAAGUGGCGCGGCACGCCGUUGGCGUGGG
RNAcentral lists this long non-coding RNA (596 nucleotides) under Hordeum vulgare. RNAcentral describes it as "long non-coding RNA (HVUL_LNC013582)". Lineage: Eukaryota; Viridiplantae; Streptophyta; Magnoliopsida; Poales; Poaceae. The record is from RNAcentral.